UCGUGGGGCUCCGGCCCUGUCGAGAUAGAACCCUUGCCUUUUGAGUACCGUCUGUUUCCUCGGCAGGCCCGCCUGCCAAUGGGGACCCCAAUAAACCCUUCUCUGUACCUGUAUCAGUCUGAAAAACAAACAAAAGUUA
RNAcentral lists this unclassified non-coding RNA (139 nucleotides) under uncultured Ascomycota. Its description in RNAcentral is "sequence contains ITS1". The record is from RNAcentral. Lineage: Eukaryota; Fungi; Ascomycota.